Cygnus olor (mute swan) is the source of this 1996-nucleotide long non-coding RNA. RefSeq lists it as uncharacterized. The transcript is spliced from 5 exons. Lineage: Eukaryota; Metazoa; Chordata; Aves; Anseriformes; Anatidae. The record is from RefSeq and is a predicted model, not a curated record.
CUGAGCAGCACUGGUCCCUGUGCCUGUGAGGCCCAUCUCCUCAGGCCCAACUGUGGCCUCCAUUACAGGCCUCUAUGUGCCUGGGAGCUGGCUGGGCUGCAGGGCGCCAGCCCCUGCCACAUGGUGCCUGCUCUUGAGGAACCAGGCUUUCAGCUGCUCCAAAUGAUGGCUUCUGGAUUGCUCUUAGAGUCAGGUGAAUUUGUACCAGCUGGAGACAGGUCCCAGACCUCUUUCGGGAGUGGGGGCAGCAAUGCCAGAAGGGCUUGUGUCUGUGUGGUGAGGCCUUGCCCUGAGCCUGCCAUGAUGGGCGGCUGUUGCCACAGCUGUGGUAAUUGCCAUAGUGAUGGCAGCUGUGUGCGUAGUUAGGGUUGUGUGGAGGAAUGGGCUGCCCUCAGUAGGUAUCUGAAGCUGGAGAAGGUCUUCUGCUUCUCUUCUGGACAACAUGGUCUACCUCUUUGUGGCUUAAUUUAAGUUCCUUUUCUGGGAAAUGCCAUAAGAGAAACCCUCGCUGCUGAGUUGCCUUCACACCUGACAGGCCUCCGGUUAGAGCUGCUUCACAAGGUAAAGUAAAGAAGGCAUUGGAAUAAAAUUUAUUUGGGCAUUUUUUCAAGUAUUCCUUGGAGGGUAAUAUCGAAGACUUGUUUCUCCUUGUCAUCUGUCUUCACGUUGCAAAAGAGCAUACAAAUGCUGGUCCGAUGCGUUAUCGGUGAAGUUACUGAGUUGUAUUCGAUGAGUUGUUGGCCUGUUUGCUAUUCCAGCUGCUGUUUCAGAAACAUUUGUCUGUUGUGAGCCUGGAGUCUAGCAAGAAAAAUCGGGUUGUUCUUCAGAGAACUUAGAAGGCAGAGAAGUCAAGGCACGGACGUGUAUACAGCUUGUUCAAGCCCUGGGUGGUUCCACAAGCGGGCUGGGAAUCCCUCCUGCUGCCUGAGUCUGGCCUCUGCGCGACCAGCCCAGCAGACUCUCGAAGUCUCUGUCAGAAAAUCCUCGCUAAACCCAGUCAUUCAGUGCCAGAUCUGCUCUGAUGCUGUUCUCUAGCAGUUCAUGGCUUUUGUUCGGCUGGACUCAAAGACAGAUCAUUAUCUAGCAGGGACUAGUUCUGAUGGUUUGAGAGGUCGUCCCAGCUGCGAACAGCUGGAUGUGUAGCCCAUGAGAUCAGAAACCUGAUAGACAGAAAUGGCUGAUGUCAUGAAACUGUCUUAAAAUUAUAAUUGUAUUGUUCUUUCAUCCCCAAAUCAUUUUUCCCAGAAAAGUGUAUUAAAACACAUGAAUGACAUUCUAAAAUGACGCAGGAAAAGUCUGCUAGGGCAAAAAUGAUGUCUAUGUGCUAGCGAUAUUUUAAUUAUAAAUGUCAUCCUGUUUUGGGGAUUGAUACCCUUUUCUAAAAGUUCUUUACUGGUUAGUGUUUUACAUAAAAUUUAUAUGCACAAGGGUGAAACCUCAGCUCUAUUGAGUUACUUUGUUAAACACCCCAGCAGACUCCCCAGUUUUAAGAACAACUUCCUGAAACUUUGUGCCUCCUCUUGUGUUUGUGCUGUGGGAUGAUUUGUUUCAUCGGGAAAUAAGAGUUUGUUAGAUUUGUUUGUGGUAUUUUUUGAUCUUAAAUAGUGUUUUCCUUCCAAAUCCACAGCCUAUUUCUAAGAGCCUAUGAGAAGUAAUGAAAAAGUAAAAUCUGUAGGCUGAAAGGUUAUCAUGUAGGAGUCCAGCGUAACUGGAGCACAUUAAGGAAUAUUUAAAAAGAAUCUGACAUUUAUUUGCUUAAAGCCCUCACUUUGUUCUUGCAGCUUCCUACAAAAUGGAUUCCUUCAGCUUUUUGAAUCUAGUGUGAACUGCACAGAAAAAACUUAUAGUCUGAUGGUGCUUUCCCUUACAGGAACCUUUCCUAGCAGUGGUUCAUCAUUCUGAAAGUACUGUUUGUUUUCCACUCCCAGGAUGCAGGCUGGCCUCAGUAAUGCUCAAAACUUGGCUAAGUUUUAUUCCAAACCACAAAAAAGCUUUC